GGGUUGUGAGGUUAAGCGACUAAGCGUACACGGUGGAUGCCCUGGCAGUCAGAGGCGAUGAAGGGCGUGCUAAUCUGCGAUAAGCGCCGGUAAGGUGAUAUGAACCGUUAUAACCGGCGAUACCCGAAUGGGGAAACCCAGUGUGACUCGUCACACUAUCAUUAACUGAAUCCAUAGGUUAAUGAGGCGAACCGGGGGAACUGAAACAUCUAAGUACCCCGAGGAAAAGAAAUCAACCGAGAUUCCCCCAGUAGCGGCGAGCGAACGGGGAGGAGCCCAGAGCCUGAAUCAGCAUGUGUGUUAGUGGAAGCGUCUGGAAAGGCGCGCGAUACAGGGUGACAGCCCCGUACACAAAAGCGCAUAUGCUGUGAGCUCGAUGAGUAGGGCGGGACACGUGGUAUCCUGUCUGAAUAUGGGGGGACCAUCCUCCAAGGCUAAAUACUCCUGACUGACCGAUAGUGAACCAGUACCGUGAGGGAAAGGCGAAAAGAACCCCGGCGAGGGGAGUGAAAAAGAACCUGAAACCGUGUACGUACAAGCAGUGGGAGCACAGGUUUACCUGUGUGACUGCGUACCUUUUGUAUAAUGGGUCAGCGACUUAUAUUCUGUAGCAAGGUUAACCGUAUAGGGGAGCCGUAGGGAAACCGAGUCUUAACCGGGCGUUAAGUUGCAGGGUAUAGACCCGAAACCCGGUGAUCUAGCCAUGGGCAGGUUGAAGGUUGGGUAACACUAACUGGAGGACCGAACCGACUAAUGUUGAAAAAUUAGCGGAUGACCUGUGGCUGGGGGUGAAAGGCCAAUCAAACCGGGAGAUAGCUGGUUCUCCCCGAAAGCUAUUUAGGUAGCGCCUCGUGAAUUCAUCUCCGGGGGUAGAGCACUGUUUCGGCUAGGGGGCCAUCCCGGCUUACCAACCCGAUGCAAACUGCGAAUACCGGAGAAUGUUAUCACGGGAGACACACGGCGGGUGCUAACGUCCGUCGUGAAGAGGGAAACAACCCAGACCGCCAGCUAAGGUCCCAAAGUCAUGGUUAAGUGGGAAACGAUGUGGGAAGGCCCAGACAGCCAGGAUGUUGGCUUAGAAGCAGCCAUCAUUUAAAGAAAGCGUAAUAGCUCACUGGUCGAGUCGGCCUGCGCGGAAGAUGUAACGGGGCUAAACCAUGCACCGAAGCUGCGGCAGCGACGUUUAUGCGUUGUUGGGUAGGGGAGCGUUCUGUAAGCCUGCGAAGGUGGCCUGUGAGGGUUGCUGGAGGUAUCAGAAGUGCGAAUGCUGACAUAAGUAACGAUAAAGCGGGUGAAAAGCCCGCUCGCCGGAAGACCAAGGGUUCCUGUCCAACGUUAAUCGGGGCAGGGUGAGUCGACCCCUAAGGCGAGGCCGAAAGGCGUAGUCGAUGGGAAACAGGUUAAUAUUCCUGUACUUGGUGUUACUGCGAAGGGGGGACGGAGAAGGCUAUGUUGGCCGGGCGACGGUUGUCCCGGUUUAAGCGUGUAGGUGUGUGUUCCAGGUAAAUCCGGUUCACUUUAACACUGAGGCGUGACGACGAGGCACUACGGUGCUGAAGCAACAAAUGCCCUGCUUCCAGGAAAAGCCUCUAAGCAUCAGGUAACAUCAAAUCGUACCCCAAACCGACACAGGUGGUCAGGUAGAGAAUACCAAGGCGCUUGAGAGAACUCGGGUGAAGGAACUAGGCAAAAUGGUGCCGUAACUUCGGGAGAAGGCACGCUGACACGUAGGUGAAGUGAUUUACUCAUGGAGCUGAAGUCAGUCGAAGAUACCAGCUGGCUGCAACUGUUUAUUAAAAACACAGCACUGUGCAAACACGAAAGUGGACGUAUACGGUGUGACGCCUGCCCGGUGCCGGAAGGUUAAUUGAUGGGGUCAGCGCAAGCGAAGCUCCUGAUCGAAGCCCCGGUAAACGGCGGCCGUAACUAUAACGGUCCUAAGGUAGCGAAAUUCCUUGUCGGGUAAGUUCCGACCUGCACGAAUGGCGUAAUGAUGGCCAGGCUGUCUCCACCCGAGACUCAGUGAAAUUGAACUCGCUGUGAAGAUGCAGUGUACCCGCGGCAAGACGGAAAGACCCCGUGAACCUUUACUAUAGCUUGACACUGAACAUUGAGCCUUGAUGUGUAGGAUAGGUGGGAGGCUUUGAAGUGUGGACGCCAGUCUGCAUGGAGCCGGCCUUGAAAUACCACCCUUUAAUGUUUGAUGUUCUAACGUGGACCCGUGAUCCGGGUUGCGGACAGUGUCUGGUGGGUAGUUUGACUGGGGCGGUCUCCUCCUAAAGAGUAACGGAGGAGCACGAAGGUUGGCUAAUCCUGGUCGGACAUCAGGAGGUUAGUGCAAUGGCAUAAGCCAGCUUGACUGCGAGCGUGACGGCGCGAGCAGGUGCGAAAGCAGGUCAUAGUGAUCCGGUGGUUCUGAAUGGAAGGGCCAUCGCUCAACGGAUAAAAGGUACUCCGGGGAUAACAGGCUGAUACCGCCCAAGAGUUCAUAUCGACGGCGGUGUUUGGCACCUCGAUGUCGGCUCAUCACAUCCUGGGGCUGAAGUAGGUCCCAAGGGUAUGGCUGUUCGCCAUUUAAAGUGGUACGCGAGCUGGGUUUAGAACGUCGUGAGACAGUUCGGUCCCUAUCUGCCGUGGGCGCUGGAGAACUGAGGGGGGCUGCUCCUAGUACGAGAGGACCGGAGUGGACGCAUCACUGGUGUUCGGGUUGUCAUGCCAAUGGCACUGCCCGGUAGCUAAAUGCGGAAGAGAUAAGUGCUGAAAGCAUCUAAGCACGAAACUUGCCCCGAGAUGAGUUCUCCCUGAGACUUAGAGUCUCCUGAAGGAACGUUGAAGACGACGACGUUGAUAGGCCGGGUGUGUAAGCGCAGCGAUGCGUUGAGCUAACCGGUACUAAUGAACCGUGAGGCUUAACCUUACAACGCCGAAGCUGUU
Molecule: ribosomal RNA, 2934 nt
Filed under: Salmonella enterica subsp. enterica serovar Blockley
Lineage: Bacteria; Pseudomonadati; Pseudomonadota; Gammaproteobacteria; Enterobacterales; Enterobacteriaceae
Description: 23S ribosomal RNA
Rfam family: Bacterial large subunit ribosomal RNA
Source: RNAcentral